RNAcentral lists this transfer RNA (71 nucleotides) under Nesterenkonia halotolerans. RNAcentral describes it as "tRNA-Cys". It matches the Rfam family "tRNA". Rfam says of the family: Transfer RNA (tRNA) molecules are approximately 80 nucleotides in length. Their secondary structure includes four short double-helical elements and three loops (D, anti-codon, and T loops). The record is from RNAcentral. RNAcentral also lists the same sequence under 11 other names. Lineage: Bacteria; Bacillati; Actinomycetota; Actinomycetes; Micrococcales; Micrococcaceae.
GGUGGGGUGGCCGAGUGGCGAGGCAGCGGCCUGCAAAGCCGUUAACGCGGGUUCGAUUCCCGUCCCCACCU